This 884-nucleotide ribosomal RNA is filed under the name Geoglossum raitviirii. Its description in RNAcentral is "eukaryotic LSU rRNA". It matches the Rfam family "Eukaryotic large subunit ribosomal RNA", at positions 66 to 962 of the family's 3401-position model. Lineage: Eukaryota; Fungi; Ascomycota; Geoglossomycetes; Geoglossales; Geoglossaceae. The record is from RNAcentral.
CAACAGGGAUUGCCUCAGUAACGGCGAGUGAAGCGGCAACAGCUCAAAUUUGAAAUCUGGUUCCUUUGGGGACCCGAGUUGUAAUUUGUAGAGGAUGCCUUCGGGUUUGGCCCCGGCCUAAGUUCCUUGGAACAGGACGUCACAGAGGGUGAGAAUCCCGUAUGUGGCUGGAGGUCUAUGCCCAUGUGAAGCUCCUUCGACGAGUCGAGUUGUUUGGGAAUGCAGCUCAAAAUGGGUGGUAAGUUUCAUCUAAAGCUAAAUAUUGGCGGGAGACCGAUAGCGCACAAGUAGAGUGAUCGAAAGAUGAAAAGCACUUUGGAAAGAGAGUUAAAAAGUACGUGAAAUUGUUGAAAGGGAAGCGCUUGCGAUCAGACUUGCCCUUAGUUGAUCAACCGGUGUUCUUCACCAGUGCACUCUGCUAAGGUCAGGCCAGCAUCGGUUUAGGCGGUUGGAGAAAGAUCGUAGGAAUGUGGCUCCCUCCGGGGAGUGUUAUAGCCUAUGGUGCCAUGCAACCAGCUUAGACCGAGGACCGCGCCUUUGUGCUAGGAUGCUGGCAUAAUGGUCGUAAGCGACCCGUCUUGAAACACGGACCAAGGAGUCUAACAUCUAUGCGAGUGUUUGGGUGUCAAACCCAUGCGCGUAAUGAAAGUGAACGGAGGUGGGAACCCUUAAGGGUGCACCAUCGACCGAUCCUGAUGUCUUCGGAUGGAUUUGAGUAAGAGCAUAGCUGUUGGGACCCGAAAGAUGGUGAACUAUGCCUGAAUAGGGUGAAGCCAGAGGAAACUCUGGUGGAGGCUCGCAGCGGUUCUGACGUGCAAAUCGAUCGUCAAAUUUGGGUAUAGGGGCGAAAGACUAAUCGAACCAUCUAGUAGCUGGUUCCUGCC